Lactuca sativa (garden lettuce) is the source of this 483-nucleotide long non-coding RNA. RefSeq lists it as uncharacterized. Lineage: Eukaryota; Viridiplantae; Streptophyta; Magnoliopsida; Asterales; Asteraceae. The record is from RefSeq and is a predicted model, not a curated record.
AGUGAAAGGCUUCUUCUCGAGGAUUCUGCUAAUUUGGCUCAAGCUUUCACUGUGAACUGCAAUCUUCAUGAAUCCAAUCCAUAUUGGUAUGUAGACUCUUGGGCCACGGCUCACAUGGCUCCAUCUUCUGCAUCAGUUGACUCAUCUCUUCCUUAUCAUGGAGAUGAUAAAGUUGCUUUUGGACACGAACACCAAAUCAAUUCUCGCAACCGGAAAGCAUAAGGAUGGGCUAUUCGUGUUUACAUACGGGACCUCAGGCUCUAGCUGCAUCAGUUUCUUCUCCUAUUAAAGCUUCAUUUGAAUUAUGGCACAAACGGCUUGGACAUGUUGCUUUUGAUGUUGUUUCAGUUUUAAAUAACCAUGGACAUUUGCUACUUAAUUCUAUUUUACCAAGACCAAAUAUUUGUUCAUCAUGUGCACUCUCAAAACACCAUCGUUUGCGUUGCCCUUUCAAUUAAAUGAAAAGCGAUCUUUACAUGUUCU